CAAAAGAAGGAGGAAGUAACUUGCAGAAUGCUGAGAAAAGCCUCCUGGACUCAAGAGAUCCUCCGAACUCAGCCUCCUGAGUAGCUUGGACUCCAGGCAUACACCACUGCUCCCAGAAGAUUCUGUUAAUCCUUCAUCCGGGUCACCGCUAUCUGACCCAGCCCCCUGCUGCUGCCGUGCACAGACAGCACAUUCACUGCUGGAGGCUACUGUAAGAGAUGAAAUGGCUGGAAGUCCAGCAGGCAACCUGGGCCAUCAUGUUACCUUAAGAAGGGAUGCCCCACACUGAGAUGGUGGAGCCAAA
This 304-nucleotide long non-coding RNA is filed under the name Homo sapiens (human). RNAcentral's name for it is "HSALNT0023573". The record is from RNAcentral. Lineage: Eukaryota; Metazoa; Chordata; Mammalia; Primates; Hominidae.